Molecule: ribosomal RNA, 443 nt
Filed under: uncultured bacterium
Lineage: Bacteria
Description: partial 16S ribosomal RNA
Rfam family: Bacterial small subunit ribosomal RNA
Source: RNAcentral
CCUACGGGCGGCAGCAGUGGGGAAUAUUGGGCAAUGGGCGCAAGCCUGACCCAGCAACGCCGCGUGAAGGAAGAAGGCUUUCGGGUUGUAAACUUCUUUUCUCAGGGACGAAGAAAGUGACGGUACCUGAGGAAUAAGCCACGGCUAACUACGUGCCAGCAGCCGCGGUAAUACGUAGGUGGCAAGCGUUAUCCGGAUUUAUUGGGUGUAAAGGGCGUGUAGGCGGGAGCGCAAGUCAGAUGUGAAAACUCAGGGCUCAACCCUGAGCCUGCAUUUGAAACGGUGUUUCUUGAGUGCUGGAGAGGCAAGCGGAAUUCGGGGGGUAGCGGUGAAAUGCGUAGAGAUACGGAGGAACACCAGUGGCGAAGGCGGAUUGCGGCAGAGUAACUGACGCUGAAGCGCGAAGGCGUGGGGAGCAAACAGGAUUAGAUACCCCUGUAGUC